CUUGACCGACCCGAGCCACAGCGGCUCCUCGCGGCCCUGUCCAUAGGUGGCGAGGAUGGCCUGCGCCUC
Streptomyces viridochromogenes is the source of this 69-nucleotide non-coding RNA. Lineage: Bacteria; Bacillati; Actinomycetota; Actinomycetes; Kitasatosporales; Streptomycetaceae. The record is from Rfam.